This 28-nucleotide small RNA is filed under the name Bombyx mori (domestic silkworm). RNAcentral describes it as "ovarian small RNA-25949". The record is from RNAcentral. Lineage: Eukaryota; Metazoa; Arthropoda; Insecta; Lepidoptera; Bombycidae.
UCAUAGGUCGUCUACCAUUUGUUUUCGC